AGAACAAUGUAGGUAAGGGAAGUCGGCAAGUUCGAUCCGUAACUUCGGGACAAGGAUUGGCUCUGAGGACUGGGCCCGUCGGGCUGGGGUCCGAAGCGGGUGUGGCACUGCACAGGGACUGGGCGAGACUGGCCGUGAAAGCGGUCCGGUCCGGCCCGGACCAGCGUCGAGGCCUUCCCGUGGAAUGCCUCAGCUGCGCGGCGCACCGGGCACAAAGCUCGGAGCGACCGUUUCGGCGGGCAACUAACAGCCGACUCAGAACUGGCACGGACUAAGGGAAUCCGACUGUCUAAUUAAAACAUUCCCCCCGGGGGUUGACUCAGGAGAAUUCCUGGGAAGUACUGGCUAGGAUCUGUACUUAGAGAGUCUCAACCACGGGGGUAAAAUAUCAGGUACUAUUGUACCUUAUUCUUCACAGGACUAGAACCCGGGUAUUGUACCUAGGAUGGGAUCAGGCUCGACAGGGACCGUACUGGUACUGGCUUGUCCGCUCCCUUGGCUGUGGUGGAGCUGAUAAGAAAAACUUGGUGGAGGGCGUGGGACAAUGCCUGUAUAACCAUAAUGGUAAAGUUAGGGCGUCCUCGUCUCUCCGUAGAGCGUGUCUAAUUAAAACAAAGCAUUGCGAUGGCCGGUGACCGGUGCUGACGCAAUGUGAUUUCUGCCCAGUGCUCUGAAUGUCAAAGUGAAGAAAUUCAUCCAAGCGCGGGUAAACGGCGGGAGUAACUAUGACUCUCUUAAGGCAAUAGCAUUGGAUUACACAAUCAUAUAAAGAUCAUCUCUUCACUGCCAAGGUAGGCAAUUU
This 802-nucleotide non-coding RNA is filed under the name Stegodyphus mimosarum. RNAcentral's name for it is "Eukaryotic large subunit ribosomal RNA". It matches the Rfam family "Eukaryotic large subunit ribosomal RNA", at positions 1892 to 2289 of the family's 3401-position model. The record is from Rfam by way of RNAcentral. Lineage: Eukaryota; Metazoa; Arthropoda; Arachnida; Araneae; Eresidae.